UUAAUUUUUUAAAUAUUAUUUUAUAACAAAAACACAUCAGAAUAUCACUACAUUUUGAUAUUUUGAUAAUUUCUCAUUCUCAGGAUCACUAGUACUAUCAUGAACACCAUGUAAGUAGCUUGUGACUGAUGUAGCCAUUCUCAAGACAAAGAUAAAAUAAUAGUGUGAUCACUAUGGAAUGCACUGAUGUUUGCAUUUGGUAACCUCUCUUUCACCUUACUAGAAUUGUCAAUCAAAGUUUGUCAUAUUACUUGCUAAGUUAUGUAACGUCAUUUUAACAAGUUGCAGUAGCUCUGAACAUUGGCGAAUCCCAGCAGAACCUUCCUGAUCACAAUGCACUUGACAAGGUUACUUCAGAACAACCAUGACAGUGAUGAGGAAGAUGCAGGAGGAGCUUACAAACACGAUCUUUGACAUCAUACAGAGACUGGACAAUACAGAAAAUACCCUGCAGAUUACAAAUAAUGAAUAUGUUGAUGUGGAGCUUCAUUUUUCAACACAGGGGAGUCUCUGAAGGAUAUGGAUUCCAUGCUUGUUCAGGACCAGGAGCUUUGAGAGAAAUUGGGGCAAUAUCUGUCUUUUAAAGGAGGCAGGACAGUCAAAGAAUCCAUCCAUCUAUCCAUUAUCCAACCGGCUAUAUCCUAACCACAGGGUCAUGGGGGUCUGCUGGAGCCAA
Long non-coding RNA from Polypterus senegalus (gray bichir), 676 nucleotides. RefSeq lists it as uncharacterized. The transcript is spliced from 3 exons. NCBI's taxonomy places the organism in Eukaryota, Metazoa, Chordata, Cladistia, Polypteriformes, Polypteridae. The record is from RefSeq and is a predicted model, not a curated record.